Molecule: ribosomal RNA, 434 nt
Filed under: uncultured bacterium
Lineage: Bacteria
Description: partial 16S ribosomal RNA
Rfam family: Bacterial small subunit ribosomal RNA
Source: RNAcentral
AGCGAACGCUGGCGGCAGGCCUAACACAUGCAAGUCGAACGAACCUUUCGGGGUUAGUGGCGGACGGGUGAGUAACACGUGGGAACGUGCCUUUAGGUUCGGAAUAACUCAGGGAAACUUGUGCUAAUACCGAAUGUGCCCUUCGGGGGAAAGAUUUAUCGCCUUUAGAGCGGCCCGCGUCUGAUUAGCUAGUUGGUUGAGGUAAUGGCUCACCAAGGCGACGAUCAGUAGCUGGUGGGAGAGGAUGAUCAGCCACAUUGGGACUGAGACACGGCCCAAACUCCUACGGGAGGCAGCAGUAGGGAAUCUUGCGCGAUGGGCGAAAGCCUGACGCAGCCAUGCCGCGUGAAUGAUGAAGGUCUUAGGAUUGUAAAAUUCUUUCACCGGGGACGAUAAUGACGGUACCCGGAGAAGAAGCCCCGGCUAACUUCGUG